RNAcentral lists this ribosomal RNA (247 nucleotides) under uncultured bacterium. RNAcentral's name for it is "partial small subunit ribosomal RNA". It matches the Rfam family "Bacterial small subunit ribosomal RNA", at positions 26 to 286 of the family's 1533-position model. The record is from RNAcentral.
AGAAUCAACGCUGGCGGCGUGCCUAACACAUGCAAGUCGAACGAGAAAGUGGGAGCAAUCCCACGAGUAAAGUGGCGCACGGGUGAGUAACACGUGACUAACCUACCCUUGAGUGGGGGAUAACCUAGGGAAACCUGGGCUAAUACCGCAUAAUACCUACGGGUCAAAGGAGCAAUUCGCUUUAGGAGGGGGUCGCGGCAGAUUAGUUAGUUGGCGGGUAAUGGCCCACCAAGACUAUGAUCGGUAU